AAAUGAAUAGACGGGGACCCGCACAAGCAGCGGAGCAUGUGGUUUAAUUCGAAGCAACGCGAAGAACCUUACCAGGACUUGACAUCUCCUUGACAGGACCUUAACCGGUCCCUUCUUCGGACAAGGAUGACAGGUGGUGCAUGGUUGUCGUCAGCUCGUGUCGUGAGAUGUUGGGUUAAGUCCCGCAACGAGCGCAACCCUUGUCUUUAGUUACUAACAUUCAGUUGAGGACUCUAGAGAGACUGCCGGGGACAACUCGGAGGAAGGUGGGGAUGACGUCAAAUCAUCAUGCCCCUUAUGUUCUGGGCUACACACGUGCUACAAUGGCUGGUACAAAGAGAAGCAAUACCGCGAGGUGGAGCAAAACUCAAAAACCAGCCCCAGUUCGGAUUGCAGGCUGCAACUCGCCUGCAUGAAGUCGGAGUUGCUAGUAAUCGCGGAUCAGAAUGCCGCGGUGAAUGCGUUCCCGGGUCUUGUACACACCGCCCGU
This 490-nucleotide ribosomal RNA is filed under the name uncultured bacterium. Its description in RNAcentral is "bacterial SSU rRNA". It matches the Rfam family "Bacterial small subunit ribosomal RNA", at positions 903 to 1397 of the family's 1533-position model. The record is from RNAcentral.